This 890-nucleotide ribosomal RNA is filed under the name Fomitiporella sp. Oe6. RNAcentral's name for it is "eukaryotic LSU rRNA". It matches the Rfam family "Eukaryotic large subunit ribosomal RNA", at positions 64 to 929 of the family's 3401-position model. The record is from RNAcentral. Lineage: Eukaryota; Fungi; Basidiomycota; Agaricomycetes; Hymenochaetales; Hymenochaetaceae.
ACUAACAAGGAUUUCCCCUAGUAAACUGCGAGUGAAGCGGGAAGAGCUCAAAUUUAAAAUCUGGCGGUCUCUGAUCGUCCGAGUUGUAACCUGAAGGAGCGUUUUCCGCGCCGAACCGUGUACAAGUCUCCUGGAACGGAGCGUCAUAGAGGGUGAGAAUCCCGUCCAUGACACGGACGCUCGGUGCUUUGUGAUACGCUCCCGAAGAGUCGCGUUGUUUGGGAAUGCAGCGCAAAAUGGGUGGUAAAUUCCAUCUAAAGCUAAAUAUUGGCGAGAGACCGAUAGCGAACAAGUACCGUGAGGGAAAGAUGAAAAGCACUUUGGAAAGAGAGUUAAACAGUACGUGAAAUUGUUGAAAGGGAAACGCUUGAAGUCAGUCGCGUCUUGUGGAACUCAGCCUUGCUUCGGCCUGGUGUACUUUCCACUCGACGGGUCAACAUCAAUUUCGACCGGUGGACAAGGGCGAGGGGAAUGUAGCGUCGUUUCGACGACGUGUUAUAGCCCCUCGUCGCAUACACCGGCUGGGAUUGAGGACCGCAGCGCGCCCUUGUGGCCGGGGGUUCGCCCCAUGUACCGCGCUUAGGAUGUUGGCAUAAUGGCUUUAAGCGACCCGUCUUGAAACACGGACCAAGGAGUCUAACAUGCUUGCGAGUGUUCGGGUGGAAAACCCUUGCGCGUAAUGAAAGUGAAAGUUGGGAGCCUCCGCGAGGGGGUGCACCGACGCCCGGCCCUGACGUUCUCUGACGGUGCUGCGGUAGAGCAAGUAUGUUGGGACCCGAAAGAUGGUGAACUAUGCCUGAAUAGGGCGAAGCCAGAGGAAACUCUGGUGGAGGCUCGUAGCGAUUCUGACGUGCAAAUCGAUCGUCAAAUUUGGGUAUAGGGGGCGAAAG